GAUGAACGCUAGCGGCAGGCUUAACACAUGCAAGUCGAGGGGUAGUUUACUUCGGUAAAUGAGACCGGCGCACGGGUGCGUAACGCGUAUGCAAUCUACCUUGUACAGGGGGAUAGCCCAGGGAAAUUUGGAUUAAUACCCCAUAGUAUUAUGAUGUGGCAUCACAUUAUUAUUAAAGUUCCAACGGUACAAGAUGAGCAUGCGUCCCAUUAGCUAGUUGGUGUGGUAACGGCAUACCAAGGCAACGAUGGGUAGGGGUCCUGAGAGGGAGAUCCCCCACACUGGUACUGAGACACGGACCAGACUCCUACGGGAGGCAGCAGUGAGGAAUAUUGGGCAAUGGUCGCAAGACUGACCCAGCCAUGCCGCGUGCAGGAUGACGGUCCUAUGGAUUGUAAACUUCUUUUAUACACCAAGAAAAACACCCACGUGUGGGUGCCCGACGGUAGUGUAUGAAUAAGCAUCGGCUAACUCCGUGCCAGCAGCCGCGGUAAAU
This 496-nucleotide ribosomal RNA is filed under the name uncultured bacterium. RNAcentral describes it as "bacterial SSU rRNA". It matches the Rfam family "Bacterial small subunit ribosomal RNA", at positions 28 to 525 of the family's 1533-position model. The record is from RNAcentral.